CAUAAUCUCUGAGGAGAAAAGCAGGGGAUCGCAAGACCUUGCGCUUUUGGAGCGGCCGAUGUCUGAUUAGCUAGUUGGUGAGGUAAAGGCUUACCAAGGCUUCGAUCGGUAGCUGGUCUGAGAGGACGACCAGCCACACUGGGACUGAGACACGGCCCAGACUCCUACGGGAGGCAGCAGUGGGGAAUUUUGGACAAUGGGGGAAACCCUGAUCCAGCCAUGCCGCGUGAGUGAAGAAGGCCUUCGGGUUGUAAAGCUCUUUCAGCCGGAACGAAAAGGUUACGGUUAAUACCCGUGACUAAUGACGGUACCGGAAGAAGAAG
Molecule: ribosomal RNA, 323 nt
Filed under: uncultured beta proteobacterium
Lineage: Bacteria; Pseudomonadati; Pseudomonadota; Betaproteobacteria
Description: bacterial SSU rRNA
Rfam family: Bacterial small subunit ribosomal RNA
Source: RNAcentral